This 23-nucleotide small nuclear RNA is filed under the name Arabidopsis thaliana (thale cress). RNAcentral's name for it is "snRNA_11603". Lineage: Eukaryota; Viridiplantae; Streptophyta; Magnoliopsida; Brassicales; Brassicaceae. The record is from RNAcentral.
AAUUCCGGAACCGGGACGUGGCG